RNAcentral lists this ribosomal RNA (492 nucleotides) under uncultured bacterium. Its description in RNAcentral is "partial 16S ribosomal RNA". It matches the Rfam family "Bacterial small subunit ribosomal RNA", at positions 29 to 507 of the family's 1533-position model. The record is from RNAcentral.
AGUGAACGCUGGCGGUAGGCCUAACACAUGCAAGUCGAACGGCAGCACAGUAAGAGCUUGCUCUUACGGGUGGCGAGUGGCGGACGGGUGAGGAAUACAUCGGAAUCUACUUUUUCGUGGGGGAUAACGUAGGGAAACUUACGCUAAUACCGCAUACGACCUACGGGUGAAAGCAGGGGAUCUUCGGACCUUGCGCGACUGAAUGAGCCGAUGUCGGAUUAGCUAGUUGGCGGGGUAAAGGCCCACCAAAGCGACGAUCCGUAGCUGGUCUGAGAGGAUGAUCAGCCACACUGGAACUGAGACACGGUCCAGACUCCUACGGGAGGCAGCAGUGGGGAAUAUUGGACAAUGGGCGCAAGCCUGAUCCAGCCAUACCGCGUGGGUGAAGAAGGCCUUCGGGUUGUAAAGCCCUUUUGUUGGGAAAGAAAAGCAGCAGGUUAAUACCCCGCUGUUCUGACGGUACCCAAAGAAUAAGCACCGGCUAACUUCGUG